This 253-nucleotide ribosomal RNA is filed under the name uncultured bacterium. RNAcentral describes it as "partial 16S ribosomal RNA". It matches the Rfam family "Bacterial small subunit ribosomal RNA", at positions 524 to 776 of the family's 1533-position model. The record is from RNAcentral.
UACGUAGGCAGCGAGCGUUGUUCGGAGUUACUGGGCGUAAAGAGUGCGUAGGCGGUUUUCUAAGUUUGGUGUGAAAUCUCCCGGCUUAACUGGGAGGGUGCGCCGAAGACUGGAAGGCUUGAGUAUGGGAGAGGUAAGCGGAAUUCCUGGUGUAGCGGUGAAAUGCGUAGAUAUCGGGAGGAACACCAGUGGCGAAAGCGGCUACCUGGCCCAUUCUUGACGCUGAGGCGCGAAAGCUAGGGGAGCAAACGGG